Molecule: ribosomal RNA, 479 nt
Filed under: uncultured bacterium
Lineage: Bacteria
Description: partial 16S ribosomal RNA
Rfam family: Bacterial small subunit ribosomal RNA
Source: RNAcentral
GAUGAACGCUAGCGGCAGGCCUAACACAUGCAAGUCGAGGGGGAAGUUACUUUCGGGUGACUGAGACCGGCGUACGGGUGCGUAACGCGUAUACAAUCUGCCUUUCACUGGGGAUAGCCCGAAGAAAUUUGGAUUAAUACCCCAUAGUAUAUAGGGACGGCAUCGUUUUUAUAUUAAAGCUUAGGUGGUGAAAGAUGAGUAUGCGUUCUAUUAGCUAGUUGGAGAGGUAACGGCUCCCCAAGGCGAUGAUAGAUAGGGGUUCUGGGAGGGAUGUCCCCCACACUGGUACUGAGAUACGGACCAGACUCCUACGGGAGGCAGCAGUGAGGAAUAUUGGACAAUGGUCGGAAGACUGAUCCAGCCAUGCCGCGUGCAGGAUGAAGGUCUUAUGGAUUGUAAACUGCUUUUGUAAGGGAAGAAUAAGGGCUACGCGUAGUUUGAUGACGGUACCUUACGAAUAAGCAUCGGCUAACUCCGUG